Molecule: unclassified non-coding RNA, 1338 nt
Filed under: Hevea brasiliensis (rubber tree)
Lineage: Eukaryota; Viridiplantae; Streptophyta; Magnoliopsida; Malpighiales; Euphorbiaceae
Source: RNAcentral
AUUUCUUCCUAGUUAUCAUACUAUUUCACAAAGCACUGUUCCAAACAAUGGUGUUAUUUCAUUUCCAAAUGAGAUCAGAAUCUAUUAGAAUGUACAUACAUAUAAAAUGGAAUACAAGUCCGAAACCUACACCCAACUCAUUGAGCUUCAAUUUGCUACACCAAAACUCAUGCCUCCAAGCAUCAUGCACUUCUAAAUGGAGCACAUCACUACUCAUGUACUGGAACACUCCAAUACAGCAUUAACUUCUACUCCUGGCAUCAUAGGUAUCAUCUCUAACUUCUAUAGAUGCAUACUGUACAUGUUAGUGUUACCUCUAUGUAUUUACUUACAUUCACAAGUGCUGCCUUAACCUGCUACUGCUUCUUCUGCCACUAUUACUACUCUUCAUUCCACUACCCCAAUCUUCAUCCUCUUCAUACUCUUCAUCCUCACAACCACCCAUCAUUCGACCAGAUUUCCUGCUUCUUCUUGGAGCAGCGCGUUUCCUUUUAAUGUUCGCCGUGUAGAUUGCAUAGUCCACUGUAUCUUCCUUCAAGGCAUUCUUGAAUUCCUGAUAUCUCUGGACAAAGUCUUCAUAAUUCUUUGGGUGCUCAAUGUUAAUUUCAUUCACAUUGAAAGGAAGACUUUGCUUUGAAAGACUUUCCCCAGGUUUUAGGGGAUCAUUUGGAGAAUAUGCCUGGCAACGGGCAUCAUUUAGAUCAUACAGAAUCUUGAGGUGCCUCUUUAGCCUCAGAAGUAACUGUAAAGCACCAGCUGCCAGACACUCCACCUGGAUCAUCUGCAAAUCAGUAUUUGAUAUGCCAUGUGGAUUUAAUGAUGCCAAAUGGGGCAUAUAUGGCUCCACUGAUCCAUAAUCUACACCAACAUGGUCACCUUCCAACACUUCCUCAAUUUUUGUGCUGGCAACCAUUGUUUCAGUCUGACACCUAAUAGGUUGAUUAGACUCUGUUUGAAUGCCCCCACUUCCAUUUAAUUUUUGAUAGCCUGCUUGUAAGAAUUGUAAAAAUCCCUUCAUAUUUGCCUCCACCGUGCCAGCCCUAACUUGAAUAAUCCGAUUUAUAGAAUAGAUCAAAUAAAGGGGCUCAUCAGGCGAUGUGAAUGGAAGCGAAGCAAGAAUUUCAGUGCAGUAAAUCAAAAAUGGGCCAACUAAAUCACCCAAGCUUGGCGUAUCAAAUUUGCGCACAACUGAGGCCAUAAAUUUGUUCCUUGAAAUACGAUUUCCACGGAUGAGCUUGUAGAUUCGAGAUACCCCGAGCCUUGCAUGGGUAAAUGAGCCAGGCUCUGACUUCCCUGAUAUGAUACCUGGAGCUUUGGACUGGGGUUUUAAACUUUGAG